UACGUAGGGCGCAAGCGUUGUCCGGAAUUAUUGGGCGUAAAGAGCUCGUAGGCGGUUUGUCGCGUCUGCCGUGAAAACCCGAGGCUUAACCUCGUGGCUUGCGGUGGAUACGGGCAGACUAGAGGUAGGUAGGGGAGAAUGGAAUUCCUGGUGUAGCGGUGAAAUGCGCAGAUAUCAGGAGGAACACCGAUAGGCGAAGGCAGGUCUCUGGGCCACUACUGACGCUGAGAAGCGAAAGCAUGGGGGAGCGAACAGG
RNAcentral lists this ribosomal RNA (256 nucleotides) under uncultured bacterium. RNAcentral describes it as "partial 16S ribosomal RNA". It matches the Rfam family "Bacterial small subunit ribosomal RNA", at positions 524 to 776 of the family's 1533-position model. The record is from RNAcentral.